This 482-nucleotide ribosomal RNA is filed under the name uncultured bacterium. RNAcentral's name for it is "partial 16S ribosomal RNA". It matches the Rfam family "Bacterial small subunit ribosomal RNA", at positions 30 to 507 of the family's 1533-position model. The record is from RNAcentral.
AUUGAACGCUGGCGGCAUGCUUUACACAUGCAAGUCGAACGGUAACAGGCCGCAAGGUGCUGACGAGUGGCGAACGGGCGAGUAAUGCAUCGGAACGUGCCCAGCCGUGGGGGUUAACUACUCGAAAGAGUAGCUAAUACCGCAUACGAUCUAUGGAUGAAAGCGGGGGACCGUAAGGCCUCGCGCGAUUGGAGCGGCCGAUGUUAGCUUAGGUAGUUGGUGGGGUAAAGGCUCACCAAGACAACGAUCUGUAGCUGGUCUGAGAGGACGACCAGCCACACGAGGACUGGGACACGGCCCAGACUCCUACGGGAGGCAGCAGUGGGGAAUUUUGGACAAUGGGCGGAAGCCUGAUCCAGCGAUGCCGCGUGCAGGAAGAAGGCCUUCGGGUUGUAAACUGCUUUUGUACGGAACGAAACGGCUCUGGUUAAUACCCGGGGCUAAUGACGGUACCGUAAGAAUAAGCACCGGCUAACUACGUG